RNAcentral lists this ribosomal RNA (253 nucleotides) under uncultured bacterium. RNAcentral's name for it is "partial 16S ribosomal RNA". It matches the Rfam family "Bacterial small subunit ribosomal RNA", at positions 524 to 776 of the family's 1533-position model. The record is from RNAcentral.
UACGUAGGGUGCAAGCGUUGUCCGGAAUUAUUGGGCGUAAAGAGCUCGUAGGCGGUCUGUCGCGUCGGCUGUGAAAACCCGGGGCUUAACCCCGAGCCUGCAGUGGAUACGGGCAGACUAGAGGUAGGUAGGGGAGAAUGGAAUUCCCGGUGUAGCGGUGAAAUGCGCAGAUAUCAGGAGGAACACCAAUGGCGAAGGCAGCUCGCUGGAACGGUACUGACGCUGAGGCGCGAAAGCGUGGGGAGCAAACAGG